This 613-nucleotide ribosomal RNA is filed under the name Asterothyrium leucophthalmum. RNAcentral describes it as "partial large subunit ribosomal RNA". It matches the Rfam family "Eukaryotic large subunit ribosomal RNA", at positions 35 to 658 of the family's 3401-position model. The record is from RNAcentral. Lineage: Eukaryota; Fungi; Ascomycota; Lecanoromycetes; Ostropales; Graphidaceae.
UAAGCAUAUCAAUAAGCGGAGGAAAAGAAACCAACAGGGAUUGCCUCAGUAACGGCGAGUGAAGCGGCAAAAGCUCAGAUUUGAAAUCUCUUUUAUUUAAUUAAAAGCGAGUUGUAAUCUGUAGAAGGUUGAAUGGCUGAAUAACUGAUUUAAGUUUCCUGGAAUAGAACAUCAUAGAGGGUGAGAAUCCCGUGAUUAUCAGUAGCUAAGCCAAUUAAUUCACCUUUCGACGAGUCGAGUUGUUUGGGAAUGCAGCUCUAAAUUGGUGGUAAAUUUCAUCUAAAGCUAAAUAUCUGCCAGAGACCGAUAGCGAACAAGUAGAGUGAUCGAAAGAUGAAAAGCACUUUGAAAAGAGAGUUAAAUAGUACGUGAAAUUGUUGAAAGGGAAGCGCUUGCGAUUAGACUUGAUAUUUGAUUUCAGCUUGCUCAUGGGCAAGUGUAUUUAUUUUAUAUCAGGCCAGCAUCAGUUUGGAGAGAUUCAUAAAGGUAAUUGGAAUGUAGCAAGCACUUCGGUGGUUGUGUUAUAGACUUUUGCAUCAUGGAUUUACUCUAGACUGAGGUCUGCCCUUCGGGAAGGAUGCUGGCAUAAUGAUCGUAAGCGGCCCGUCUUGAA